Molecule: non-coding RNA, 825 nt
Organism: Parasteatoda tepidariorum (common house spider)
Lineage: Eukaryota; Metazoa; Arthropoda; Arachnida; Araneae; Theridiidae
Source: RefSeq, a predicted model, not a curated record
AUUACAAGUUUCAAGUAUAUAGAUGAAUGUAUACCAGAAUUUUUUUCCGAUUCUCUGAUUUUCUUAAAUUCUAUUCAGACUUUAAUGACCUUGGUAUUCCAUGGUGGUGUGAUAGUCCAGAAGAUUUUGUGGCAAAGUAUAGAAAUGCUUUCUUGUGUAUCUGAAUGACUUCAUCACUGGAUUGAUUUAACUUUUGGUUAUAUUCUUAACAUUUCUCUUUUAAACAAAUGGAUUUAUGUUUUUGGUAUCUGACACAAAAGAGAGUGGCGAUGAGGAAGAGCAAGUCCAGCUUUCUUUUUGAAAAAUUUAGAUCAAAAUCUUCCACUGAUCGCUCAGAAUCUAGACCGGAAAGCCAAAGACUUACACAAGGAUUCAUUAUCUUCCCAUCUUGAAACUCUGCAUACUUUUCAAUCUUGGUUUGACGGAAAAUAUCAUCAUUUUAAUGAAUUUAAGGUAAGUCUUUAAGUACCAAUUCAAACACUAAAAAAGAUUUAUGAUACACUUUUUAAAUUAAAGGGUUCAUUAACAUUCUAAGUUGAAAAAACUUGCCUUUUCAUGUUUUUAUGCUUCCCUUAAUUGGCUCAUAAAAUAGGUAUGUAACUAAGAAAGGUGGCUUAACAUGCAUUCCCCAAAAAUGCAUAGUUAUCGCUUACGCUCAUCAACCUUAGCCUGUUGCAAUCAUUUCACCAUGCUGUAGUUGGUUAAAAUGAAUUAUUUAGUUAGUCUUCUCAAUGUGCCUUAAAUUUAAAGAGUUGCCCAGAUUUUGCAACCAGGUUCUCGAUCUUCACCCUCUUUUUUCCACUGUUCUUAAGUGCUGAAUGUUGU